RNAcentral lists this ribosomal RNA (462 nucleotides) under uncultured Methanomicrobiales archaeon. RNAcentral's name for it is "bacterial SSU rRNA". It matches the Rfam family "Archaeal small subunit ribosomal RNA", at positions 877 to 1338 of the family's 1478-position model. The record is from RNAcentral. Lineage: Archaea; Methanobacteriati; Methanobacteriota; Methanomicrobia; Methanomicrobiales.
CACCACAACAGGUGGAGCCUGCGGUUAAUCGGACUCAAACGCCGGGAAACUCACCAGAUAAGACAGCUGAAUGAUAGUCGGGCUGAAGACUCUACUUGACUAGCUGAGAGGAGGUGCAUGGCCGUCGUCAGUUCGUACUGUGAAGCAUCCUGUUAAGUCAGGCAACGAGCGAGACCCACGCCAACAGUUGCCAGCUCGUCCUCCGGGAUGGUGGGGACACUGUUGGGACCGCCUCUGCUAAAGAGGAGGAAGGAAUGGGCAACGGUAGGUCAGCAUGCCCCGAAUUAUCUGGGCUACACGCGGGCUACAAUGGGUGGGACAAUGGGUAUCGACACCGAAAGGUGAAGGCAAUCUCCUAAACCCAUCCGUAGUUCGGAUUGUGGGCUGCAACUCGCCCACAUGAAGCUGGAAUCUGUAGUAAUCGUGUCUCAAAAUGGCACGGUGAAUAUGUCCCUGCUCCUU